GUGUAUCUAAGACUGCCAACCUCAAUCAAAAGACAAACUUAAUCAGUGCUGUGGUUUUAAUGUGUCCCCCAAAGCUCAUGUGUUGAAAAUUUAAUCCCCAAUUCAAUAAUGUUGAGAGGUGAUGCCUCUAAGAGAUGAUUAGGUCAUGAGGGCUGUGCCCUCAUGAAUGGAUUAAUGUCAUUGUCAUAGGAGUGGGUUAGUUCUCACUGGAAUGGCUUCCUGAUAAAAGGAUGAAUUCAGUCCCCUUCCCCUUCUUCCUUAUGCCCUCUUGCCCUUCUGCUUUCUACCGUGGGAUGAUGCAGCAAGAAGACCCUCGCCAGAUGCAGACUCCUCAGCCUUGGACUCCCAAGCCUCCAGAACUGAAGUGAUGGAAAAACUAUUCUCAGCAAAUGAGUGGAAAUUGCACAACUACAAGAUUUACCCAUUUUUUGAAAGCUGCCUGAGAAAGAAGAUAGCAAUCCAAAAGAAAAUUCUUCAUACAGACACCAACAGAUGAGCAAAAAAGAGAAAGAGGUCCUUCACAAAUGUAAUAGUCUGACAGGAGGGCUUUCCAGGAUUGACAAUACCAUGAAGACAAUCAGCAGCAAAAAAAGGAGAAGUCAUUGAAUAUCCUUAAGAAUGUCUCGCAGUGGCUCACGCCUGUAAUCCCAGCACUUUGGGAGACCAAGGCGGGUGGAUCACUUGAGGUCAGGAGUUCAAGACCACCCUGGCCAACAUGGUGAAACCCCCUUUCUUCUAAAAAUACAAAAAUUAGCUGGGUGUGGUGGCACGUGCCUAUAAUCCCAGAUACUUGAGAGGAUGAGGCAGGAGAAUCGCUUAAACCCAGGAGGCGGAGGUUGCAGUGAGCUGAUUGUGCCAGUGCACUCCAGCCUGGGAGACAGAGUGAGACUCUGUCUCCAAAAAAAAAAAAAAAAAAAAAAAGAAUGUCUUUCGUAGUGAUAUAUUUAAGUGGUCGGUCGGACAUUUUCUCAACUGAGGUUUCAACUACAUUGGUGCUUCUCAAAGUAUCUGUGAGGAAAGAACCAGUUUUUUAAAAAGAAAAUUUUCCAAUCUAAAAGUUUCUAAGGGCUGACUCUCAAUUUCUGUACUUUUUCAUCACAGACCAGUAACAAACAAGCAUCACUGCUCCAUGAACCACAUUUAGAGUAGUCCUGUUUUAUUUAAAUAACAAUUGCUGUUUAUGGGGCAGAUAGCGUGCCAAACAUUUGAUAAAUAUAAUUUAACGUUCACAACGAUCUUAUGUGGCAAAUCUUUCCCACUUAACGGCUAAAAAAGUGAGAUUUAGAGAGUUUAGGUAAUUUGCAAAGACUCAUAAAAUUAAUCAGUGGUAGAACAUUUCAUCCUAACUUAAAUCUAUUCAUUACCAUCUUUUAAGAAUCAGGAGCAGCAAGGUUGGAUAGUUCAAAAUAUGCAGAAUUAUUGACAGAAGAAUGACAUUGCAAAAAGUCAGAUCUGAUAGUCCAAGGACACAAAUUAAUGAGGAAGCAAAAGACCAGGAAAAUCUAGUUGGGCAUGAGUCAGGUACUAGGUAAUUGAAGAAAAGAAUGGUUGAAACUGGGUUGACUGCUGGAAUGUAGAGUGUAGCUUGUGAGCAAUUACUCAAAUAAAGAUUUUUCCUUUUGUUUAGUGUCCUUUCUUCCUAAGGUAACAAAACAUAUUCUUAUUAAUAGCUGUCACCUGAUUCUUCCACCACCUUCCAAUGUACUGUGUCUGGGGCUUGCUGUACCUCUCUGGUCCUGAUCCUUUUAAGGUGAUAUGGUCAUCAAUAUCUAUCCAUAGAGUUUGAUUACACCCAGCAAAGGGAGGGAUACAUCCCUUGGCAAGAUCUGAGGCUCAAUUAGAGGGUCUUCAUCCUCUGGGAGACCAAAUGGUGCACCAUCUAGGGUUGUCAAAUUCAAGGACUUGGCUCCUCUUUAUUAGAACAUCCUUUUCACAGGGAAGCAUAGCCUGUGAGGCCUAAUGAAGUGGGAAUGGAUCACCCCUUAAGUCUUAGAGGUGUGUACAGCAUGAUUACUAAGCUAUUUGCAAGGAGAAAAGAGGCCUUUGGCCGGGGAAUUAGCUUGUAGGGAGACCCACUGGAAACAGUGUGGCAUGUUCAGUCCCCUAGGAACAGGGGACGUAAACACUAAUUUAUGAAAUUAAAUUAUGAAACUCACAUUGGAAGCCAACAUGGCAAAGGGAGUCCAAAUGCAGGGUGGAAAAUGAUGUAGGAGAAACUGAAAACGUGCACUGUGAAAGCGAGGAUGCAAGGCAAAAAGGAGGAACCAAGAAAAAAAAGUCUCUGAGGAGGAGGAGGUAAGUAGAUCAAAUAAAGUAGAUGAGGCCAAACCUUGUCCAAGCUCCAGGGUUUUGCAUAAGAUCAAGUAAAUAAAUAUAUUCAGAUUGUAGACAAUACAGAAACACAGGCACACACAUUUUUAUGCCACCACAAGAAAAAAUCCAUUACCCAUAUUCAUACCACCCAGAGAUGAUGAUUUAAUUAUGUUUUCUAUGCAUUGUUUGACUUUGAGAGUAAGCAAAGCCCAACCAAGCUUGUUGCCUGACUGUAUUCUGAUAGUGUGUGUGCUAGAGGGAGGGAGAGAUAAUUGAGGCAGGGACAGUUAAUUCACUUCUGAAAAAAUCGGUGUAAUGUUGCAGAUGGCCAAGGCAUCAUGGGAUUUCUGACCCAGAGAGAACUUGAAGAUCAUCCAGCUGAUGGUUUUAAAACUGUGUUUUUCAGAGCCAUAUAGGUCCAGCACAGAUGCCUCAGGGGCUGUCUGGGGGCAGAAUUGGGUGUACAGCCAAGUGGUCAGGGUUAUAGGUCUCCCAGCCUGGCUUCAACCCAGCAACUCUGCUUUAUCUGGUUUUUAUAUUCAUUUCUGGGUAAGGUUUUAUUUGAAAAAAAUGUUCUGCUGCUUUCAAAGGAGAACAAUAAAAAGAUUUAAAGUCAUUGCCCUAAUCCCAAGUAUUCAUUUUGCAGCCAAGGAAAUGGAAACUGAAAUCCCAAGAAAUAAAAGGACAUUCAGAAGAAUGUCUAACCCAUGGCCAGAUGUGUUAGCUAUAAGGACUGAGAGGCUGUCUUUGGGUACAGGACUUUCAGUGCUAAAGCCAAGAAAGUGCCACAAAAACCAGAAGGGUUGGUCUACCUAUCAGGAAGCCUCCAGUUCCCAGAUCUUUUCUUACUAACAGCUCUGUAUUUGUUUCGGAAAUUCUAGGACUUUGAUGCUCUGGUAUUUUGAACCACCUAGGCUGUGAUCACUCAAGUUGCCUAGUAACCAGCUGAAGGCCAGCACCAGAGUGAAACCAAGAGAAGCCACAUUCCUUAAUAAAGACAGCAACAGCUGGGGAACCAGCAGGUCUAGGUUCACGGUUGAGCUGGAUCCUUACUCCUUUGAGGAUGUGACUGACAUGUCUUUUAUUAAACUGCUUAAAUCCUCCAUCUGUAAAAUGGGCCUGACGUUUGACAGCAAGUACCUCCUGCACAUAUUGUGAGGAUUAAUGAAGAAUCUAGAAAACAGUUUGAACCUUUCAGAAUAAAAGCACUUGGAAAACAUGUUGGAUUUACAAUAAUUUAGUGCUAGCAUUAAGAUAAUGUUGGAAAGCAGGGUCAGCUAAAUCACUGAUUUCCAAGAUUUAAAGACAACUACAGUAAUAACAGUCUUUCCACUUGCCUUAUAGUUAAUUGUGUUUAUAUAAUUAUCUCAAGGACAGAAAGUGGUGAUAAAUGCAUUGAAAAUGGAGAAAAACGUAUUAUGGUAUUAAAAAACAAUCUGAGUUACCAUAUCUGAGAUCAACCCACAUAUGUGCGGAUUUACUCAGUACUAAUUCAGCUAAUCUUUCUUAGAGAUGACUGUCAAUUCUAGAAGAACUCAAGAUACAAGGUAAGACCAUUAGCUUGGUGUAUAGUCUGAUGAACAGCAUAUAAAAAUGGCUUUGUUUGGGAAACAGUCCCUCUAUGUCAAUAUGGAAUUCUGGGCUCAUCUGAGCCAACACACUUACCUAGGAUUCAAGUUCCUUCCCCUCACCUACAAUCUAUGCAUUCUUUUUUUCUUGUCAUUACCCCAUGUAGACUUUGCAUUUCGCCCAUGCUAAAAUAUUUCAUCUCCCUUUCACCCCAAACACAAUGAACUCUCCUUAGCUAGAAAUGUCAGCUCACAAGCUUCUGUCUUAGAACAAUUUUUUUCCACAAUUCUCUUGGAUUAUCUGAAACAAAACUAUCCUGAAAACCACCAGCUCAAGUACUCCUUUGCAAAAUGGACUGUUUUAUUUCCCAGGCCCAGAGUGGUCAUAAAGUCCCUGAGGUAUCAUUAGGCAUCAAGAAGAACUGGGUUCAAAUCCUUUUUAUGCUUUCUGUGCAUACAUAAGGCAAAUUACUUAAUUUCUCUCAACCUUAGAUUCUUAUCUAUAAAACAGAUAAUAAUACACUCAAAGGUUGUUGGGAGGAUUAAAUAAGGAUAUAUAUAUAUGUAAUAUUUUCAUAUAUAUCCUUAUAUAAGUAUAUAAGGAUAUAUAUGCAAUAUGUAUAUAUGUAUGUGUACAUACAUACACAUAUAUAGUGCGUAUAUAUAUAUACACACACUCACACAGACAUAUAUAUAUGGUGGGUCAGAAAUUUCAGAAAUAUACCCCGUGCUCAAUCAACGUAAUUGAUAGAGUUCUCUUUCCCCCUUCCACUCCACCUUCUUUCUAGCUCUCAUACUAAUCAUGGCUGCUUUUCUAGAUGGUAGAGUAGAACCCUAUAUCGACUAACAAAAUAGAUGUCUUCUAUUUGAAGGGAUUUAGAACCAGGUUAAAAAGUAAAACAUAAUGUCCAUUCGCCUGCAUUAUAGUUUUCUGCGAUGUUUAGAGAAUUUUUUUAAUGACAGGUUUUGAUUGUCUUAUAUUGAAUAUGUUUUAAGUGGUUUUCACCUAAUAUAAGAGGAAAACAUCAAAAGCCACAAUCCUAGAAAGAGAAACUACAUUACAUUGAAAACUCUCAAGGGCUAAUGGGCCAUUUAUGCCUUUUCUCUGGGCAUUAGGAAACUCAUUGUAUGGUGACAAGUUUGCCUUGGCUCAAUCUGAUCUACCAGCAAGGACUCUGAAAGACAUUCAUUCAAUCACUUGUCCAUCCUGAAGCCACUGCUAAAAUUGCAGCCACUGCUAAAAUUGCAGCCGGCUGAAGUGACACAGGAAACCAAGUCCCUGUACUUAACUUGGAGGAUGAAAGGAGGCAUCAUACAGAGGACUGAUUAAAGGCCAGGUGAUGUGGCGGCCCUCAUACUCAGAACAUCUGGGAAUUUUUAAAUGCUGUCCUGACCCUCACUAGUUUUCUUCAAAUACUGGAACUGCUGGAAAUUCCACCCAGUUUUUCUGCAAAACCCAUUUAGGUGCUUCUACGGGAGUCAGGUGAUUCCCAGAGUCCAAUAACUCCAAUGACAUGAGACUUCGGAGAUUUGCUGUUUUCUAAAAAGAGCAAGACAACCGUCUCUUCCACUUCCAUUCUAGUUUUCCCAGGACUUUCCCAGUUUUCCAGUGAAAGUCCCUAGUCGUAGGAAACACCUCAGUUUCAGGUAAACACUGAACAGCUUUCUCAGAAAUAUAGCUAGGAUUGGGGAAUAUCACAAGAUCACCAACACUUUAAAUAGGAUAGGACUUAGACUCUUUCAACUCAGAAAAAGACAGAAAAAAACCAGUUUUGUGAUCAACCCACAAACCUAAUGCCAUCCAAGGUCUGUUCUUUCUUCACCAGUUCAAUGGUUACAAUUAUUUUUGAGGCAGAAAAUCCUUUGCAAAACAGAUGAAAUCUGUGGAAACUCUUGUUAGAAAAAUCUAUUCAUAUCCACAUAAUACUGAAGUAUAUAGCACACAAAGCAAGUGUACUAAUCAAAAGAUUACAGCUUUAUAAAUUUUCACAAACCAAACACACCCAUUUGAACAGCACCUAGGUAAACAACAGAAUAUUACCAGCACCUCAAUAGGAUUUAUCUUUCCCUUCCAGUCACUACUAGCCUGCCAAGGGUAAAUGCUGCCCCAACUUCUAAGACCUUAGAUUAGUUUUACCUUCUUUUGAACUUCAUAUAAGUUAAAUUAUUUAGUAUGUACACUUUCAUGUUUGGCUUCUUAAAUGCAACAUUUUUUUGUGACAGUAGGUCUUAUUAUUGUGUGUAGUUGCAGUUCAUUAAUUCCCAUGUAUGUUACAUCGUAUGAAAAUACUAUAUUUUAUUUAUACAUCCUAUUAUUGGUGGUUAUUUGGUUAGUUUUUAAAGUAUUGUGAGUAAUAUUACUGUAA
This 6247-nucleotide long non-coding RNA is filed under the name Homo sapiens (human). RNAcentral's name for it is "HSALNT0280418". The record is from RNAcentral. Lineage: Eukaryota; Metazoa; Chordata; Mammalia; Primates; Hominidae.